AGACAGGUAUGAGCUGAUUGAAAAUAAACAAUAUUGCUUGUACCAGAAACUGUACAUUUUGUAGUUUUAAGGUUUAUACAUAGAGUUGAGGAAGCCGAGGUUCAGAUGUGGAAUACGCCUGAUGCCCCUGCAAGACGAGAUAAAAUGACUAUACAAGUGUUUAAGGGUGUAAAAACAAAAAUGAUCAUAUGUUUGAAAUAGUCUAAACGUGACAAUGACUGUACAAAUGUCGGUAUGUGGAGAGCUGUUAAUGUUAGGUGAGGCGAGGCCAGAGUUUUCCUUUCAUGUAUCGGUAUUUGACUACUUUUUUCCCCUUCCCUUGAAAAAGUACAUUUUUCUUAUAUUCUCAUGGUCAAAUGUCUUUAUAUAUGCAUAUAU
Molecule: unclassified non-coding RNA, 378 nt
Filed under: Hevea brasiliensis (rubber tree)
Lineage: Eukaryota; Viridiplantae; Streptophyta; Magnoliopsida; Malpighiales; Euphorbiaceae
Source: RNAcentral